Molecule: long non-coding RNA, 3476 nt
Organism: Gorilla gorilla gorilla (western lowland gorilla)
Lineage: Eukaryota; Metazoa; Chordata; Mammalia; Primates; Hominidae
Exons: 2
Source: RefSeq, a predicted model, not a curated record
GUUCUCUUCCGGCCGGAGGCAGUGGCGGGGUUCUCGCCGGUCCUGCGGGUCGCUGCUCGGCUGUGGGUUAGUAGCACCCUGAGCGGAGCGGAAGAGCUGCCCGCCGCCGCGUAACCCCGAGGCCGAGACUCCCGGCCUGGCCUCCUUGGGCCCACGACGCCUGCCCCGCGGAGCGGACCCAUGGGCCUGAGGUUUGUGUGCGGGGCCUCAGGCGAGCGCUGGCGCAGCCUGUCCCCCAUCCUCUGCGCCCUGCGGGCCUGGCCCUCCCCGUGGAAGGACCGCGGGCUUCGGGGCCCCACGCUGGGGGGCUGACUCCUGCCACAUACACAGCGGUGGCCGCGGGCCUGGGGCGGCAGCACAGCCAUUCUGCUCGGGCUGCGUGAGCUGACCCCGCUCUCUGUGCACCUACUUUUGCUGCGUUUGGUGCUGAGCCUGAAGUCCCAGGACAGGCGGCUGAGGGGGUAAGAUGGUGUGAAUUGGGUGGGCAGAGACAACUGAAAGCCAUAGGACCCGGUUGGCACCUUUUUGGCCUCCUGGGCCUUUGCCUGCAGCCCCGCUCCCUGGGUCACCCGAAGGAGGAGCUGGCGCUCUUUCCGGGCGCAGAAGCACCCGACCCACGCUGGAGGAAACGGUCCCCCUGGGCAGGAGAAGCUUUGGGCCUGGCUGGAGCACACUCACGGAACCACGCCAACGCCUGGCCUGUAGCCAGCUCCCACCUCCCCUCCCACCUUCUAAAAUGCUUGCGGAUCUCUCGUGGCCGACCCUAACCAGAUACACAUGGGGAAAGGAAUCAGGUGGCACACACACUGCCUUUACUCCAUAGAGAACUUCCAAUUGUGGGUAAGAACAAAGCCCCACCUCUGCCUAAUAGAUGCAGUUUUCCACCUGCAGCCAAAAAGACAACCUGUUACUACCUUUUUCCCCAGAGGACAGGUAUCUCUAUGAAACUGCCAUUGCAAAAUUUGCCGACAGUGAGAUAACCAGCUCCAUCUUGCUUCUAACCUCCAUGCCCUCCUUGUUUAUUGCUGCGCGCAGGUUGAACUGUGGGAGGAACUUAGUUUAAAACAAAGAUGAUAACAGCCCUUUCCCAAAAGAAACCUUUCCUGGGGACUAGCCUGCUUUUGUGGGACCAACAGAUUAGCCACAAGAUUAGAAACUACGGUUGAAGAGUCACGCAGCUGGAGGCUACAGGAUUCUGACCCUCCCCAAACUGCUCCUGGCGAUAACAUGACCAUCGUAAAGCCUAAGAUCAGCACUUGAUGGGUCGCCUGGCACCACCCAGGCUCAUCUGAUGUUGUGGCACCCAGGAACUGACUCAGUGCGAAAACAACAGCUUCGAACUCCCUAGGAUUUCAUGUCUGACCUGACCAAUGGGUACUUCUGACUCACUGGCUGCCCCCCACCCACCAGCUUAUCUUUAAAAACUCCAAACCCCAGAUGCUCAGGGAGACCGAGUAAUAAUAAAACUCCAGUCUCCCACACAGCUAGCUCUGCGUGAAUUACUUUUUCUCUGUUGCAAAUGCCCUUUCUUGAUAAAUUGGCUGUCUAGUAACAGGGAAGGUGAACCCAUUGGGCAGUUACACUUCUGUCCACCCUUCCAGCUGGAUCACGCACCCUCUUCAAUGACAUGACACGCAGCUAGGGUUGUAUGAGCUUGCUGCCGGCACCUUCCGUCUUGGAUCGCAUAGCAAGGCCUCAACGGACAGCCAGGUGCCUGGUCCGGUCCCACUUUUUUUUCUGUCCUGUUCUCGUUUCCUCUUUGCUUGGCCCAAGAGGGUUGGGCCAGGGUCCUGAGUGCAAGGGCUUGGCUUGAAUUAAAGUGGCAGUAGCCGUGUGGCAGAGAAAAUUCGUAGAUGGGUGAAAUCCUGCAGCUGUUGAUGUUAACAGCAUCCUGGGCCUACACAGAGACAAAGUGUAUAUAGACAGCCAGCCUACUUGGUGGAUGUGACAACCCCAGACUCUUCUAGAUUUGUGGAUCCAUGCACCUGCCAGACCUGUCUCUGAGCCAUCUGGGGAGGCUGGGUAAGAUUCCCCCGUCAGGGCCUGAGCCUCAUCUCCAAGCUGCUGGCUUCAGCCCAGCUGCCACCAGCGCUGUCUCUGUCUUGCGCUUUCCAGAGGGAGACUGACUCAUUUUGAGCUCGAGGCCUACCAGGCAGCCCAACCGCGGCAGUAACUGCCUCUCACACUGAGGAUGGCUCAUGCUCUGGUCCAGCCAUGGCUUGAACACCUCCCAACGAGAACAAAGCCAGAUUCAUUCUCCCCAGCGUCUUCCUUGCUCAAAGAUCCUACACACCGUUAGAAGCUGGAACUGGGUCCUUGUUACCUUCCUCACCUCCCCAGUCCUAGUCUGGUUAAUCCUCACAUCUCACCACGGUCACCGUGGCUAGAUGUGACCCAGCGAUGCUUCAUGCACGUGCUAGGGCAGCCUGGGCAGGGCUGGUCACUGCGAUCUCAUGAGGUGUGAACUUGACCCCGGGCUUCUUUCCUGGGAUGCCAGCUAAGGACACAAGUUCCGUGUUUACCCUGGCUUGUAGCCCGGCAGGGGCUCUGUCAUCCCCUGAGGAAUGCCUCGGCCUGCAAGACCGCAUACCGCAUUGGAACAGGGAAACCACCUACUUCAGCACCUCCCUCAGCAAGGUGGCAGGUCCCAACAAGCCUUGCACCAUGAGGAAGUGGCAGUGGCAUUCGGGAUAUGGCUCCCUGGCCAGCUUGUGAAGUUCAAGGGGCUCAUUACUUCUUACAGCUCAGCCCCUCCCGGGUCCAGCACACCUGAGGGCUGACCUCCCUCUUGAUUAGUGCAGGGGAAAAGCACUUUAAAAAGCUGUGUCAUGUGUAACUUGCGCAUCUUCUGAUUCUGACCUGAAACUGCAUCCCAGGUCGGCACAGACGCAACCCAGUCUCCUCCCACCUCCUAGAGUGCAGUGUCCUGAAUGGAGGACCCCAGCACACAGAAGCAUCCACUGAAGGACGUAAGUAGGACAAGGCCAACUGUGGCUGUUCCAGCAGAGGGACUGUGGGUGAUGUUUCCCUUCUCUGAUUUCUAAGAUAUCUGCAAACUUGUUUCAUUUAUAAUUGAAAAUACAAUUUGCAUAACAACAGUAAAUUCUACACAUGAAGGCAAACGUCCGUGGUUGACAGAAAUUACACUGGCCAGAAUCCCCAGUCCCCAUGAGGCUUGUCCAGACGCAGUGAACCAGUCGCAGCUGACAACACACAGACCAUUCCCGAUCCCAGAGGUGCAUUUCAGGAUUCAUUCUAUUUCAUCAGGUGUGUCCUGGAACCCUGGCUGCACCCACAGACACAGCCACUCCUGGGCCCAUGUGGAUGGAACCUUUGAGUGCCGGAAUGCCUCGUCUCCAUGGAGACCAAACUCAAGGGCCUGACUGGCCCAGUCUACCGAGACCACGAGCCCUGCUGUGCCCCUCGGCCAGGCCAACCCAAAUUCUUUUAAAUAAAAGGCACAAGCCACAGCCACA